This 705-nucleotide long non-coding RNA is filed under the name Brachypodium distachyon (stiff brome). RNAcentral's name for it is "long non-coding RNA (BDIS_LNC002666)". Lineage: Eukaryota; Viridiplantae; Streptophyta; Magnoliopsida; Poales; Poaceae. The record is from RNAcentral.
GGGGCAAGAUUCAUUGGGUUACAGUAAAAAUCAAAUGCGCGAUCUCCUUGUGUCUGUUUUUAGGCCGGUUUUUCUUAGAAACGGGACCAAUUUUUUUUUUCUUCAUCGAAUUGCGGGAUCGACCGCUGUGAAAAAGAAAAUCCCUUGCACUGUCUCUGUCUGACACUCGAGACCACGGGUAAUUGAGUAACGGAUAUAAAUUUGUGGCGCUCCAGUCAUGCUGAUGCACUGGCUUACGAUUGGGCAGUUAGGCCGGCCUGUGCUCAAGAACUCCAUCGGGUGGUCCUGCAGCCUGCCGGGCGCCGUGCAGACUGACGAUUGAUCGGCCAUUUCUUUUUUCUCUUUCAGAAGGAAGGACACGCACCGGAUACUGGAAUUGCAUUUGCAGUUAGAGAGAGCUCAGCAGUGCCUUUCGCGACGGCGUGAUACAUUUUUUUUUUGAGGACAUCGACGGCGUGAUACAUGUACUUGUAGUGUACGAGACGCGAAGACGCGUGCCGCGUGGGCCGUGGUGUCGGACGAUGGUGUCGUGGGCCGAGGCCGGGGCCCGGUCCGGGAGUAGCACACCGUUCGCGUGCGCGGUCGCCGAUACGCGCCGCUCACCUUUGCACACACGCGCCGCGGCAUGAAUUACGCGGCUCCGCUUUCUCGUUCCCGUUCCUCCUGCCGGCUGCAGCAUGCCAGCAUCCCGUCACAACAGCUUGC